AACAGAAGACUGUUGUAGCAUGGCAUGGGACCCGAAGCCCCUCGAGGGAUAAUACAGGCUCUCCCAUCCAACUCCUAUUCCGGCACGUCCUCGUCGUGCAGAGUGGUAACAAGAACCUUGAAACAACUUGAUGACGCUCUAGCCACACUGAGCAUG
Molecule: non-coding RNA, 156 nt
Organism: Anopheles quadriannulatus
Lineage: Eukaryota; Metazoa; Arthropoda; Insecta; Diptera; Culicidae
Source: Rfam